GGGUCAGUAGGUUGGUCGUGCCACCGGUACGUACUGGUCUCACUGAUUCCUCCUUCCUGAAGAACCGUAAUGCCAUUAAUUUGGUGUUGCGGGGAAACAGGACGGUUACUUUGAAAAAAUUAGAGUGUUUAAAGCAAGCUAACGCUUGAAUACAUUAGCAUGGAAUAAUGAAAUAGGACGAUCGAUCCUAUUUUGUUGGUCUCUAGGAUUGACGUA
RNAcentral lists this ribosomal RNA (216 nucleotides) under Glomeromycotina sp. Its description in RNAcentral is "partial small subunit ribosomal RNA". The stretch from base 40 to 216 matches the Rfam family "Eukaryotic small subunit ribosomal RNA", at positions 686 to 864 of the family's 1831-position model. The record is from RNAcentral. Lineage: Eukaryota; Fungi; Glomeromycota.